Molecule: ribosomal RNA, 467 nt
Filed under: uncultured bacterium
Lineage: Bacteria
Description: partial 16S ribosomal RNA
Rfam family: Bacterial small subunit ribosomal RNA
Source: RNAcentral
GACGAACGCUGGCGGCGUGCUUAACACAUGCAAGUCGAACGGAAAGGCCCUGCUUUUGUGGGGUGCUCGAGUGGCGAACGGGUGAGUAACACGUGAGUAACCUGCCCUUGACUUUGGGAUAACUUCAGGAAACUGGGGCUAAUACCGGAUAGGAGCUCCUGCUGCAUGGUGGGGGUUGGAAAGUUUCGGCGGUUGGGGAUGGACUCGCGGCUUAUCAGCUUGUUGGUUGGGUAGUGGCUUACCAAGGCUUUGACGGGUAGCCGGCCUGAGAGGGUGACCGGCCACAUUGGGACUGAGAGACGGCCCAGACUCCUACGGGAGGCAGCAGUGGGGAAUAUUGCACAAUGGGCGGAAGACUGAUGCAGCAACGCCGCGUGCGGGAUGACGGCCUUCGGGUUGUAAACCGCUUUCGCCUGUGACGAAGCGUGAGUGACGGUAAUGGGUAAAGAAGCACCGGCUAACUACGU